CAGCCGCCACGGGAAUACGAAGGGGGCUAGCGUUGCUCGGAAUCACUGGGCGUAAAGGGUGCGUAGGCGGGUCUUUAAGUCAGGGGUGAAAUCCUGGAGCUCAACUCCAGAACUGCCUUUGAUACUGAAGAUCUUGAGUUCGGGAGAGGUGAGUGGAACUGCGAGUGUAGAGGUGAAAUUCGUAGAUAUUCGCAAGAACACCAGUGGCGAAGGCGGCUCACUGGCCCGAUGCUGACGCUGAGGCACGAAAGCGUGGGGAGCAAACAGGAUUAGAUACCCCGGUAGUCCCUGUCUCUUAUAC
This 301-nucleotide ribosomal RNA is filed under the name uncultured bacterium. RNAcentral describes it as "partial 16S ribosomal RNA". It matches the Rfam family "Bacterial small subunit ribosomal RNA", at positions 509 to 807 of the family's 1533-position model. The record is from RNAcentral.